This is a non-coding RNA of Triticum aestivum (bread wheat), 86 nucleotides long. Lineage: Eukaryota; Viridiplantae; Streptophyta; Magnoliopsida; Poales; Poaceae. The record is from Rfam.
UUCUUACCAUGGGUACCCUGCAAGCACUUCACGAGGCAUUAUUUGAAAUGCCAAUGUGAAGUGUUUGGGGGAACUCUUGGUGGCAC